AUACGUAGGUGGCAAGCGUUGUCCGGAUUUACUGGGUGUAAAGGGCGUGCAGCCGGGCCGGCAAGUCAGAUGUGAAAUCUGGAGGCUUAACCUCCAAACUGCAUUUGAAACUGUAGGUCUUGAGUACCGGAGAGGUUAUCGGAAUUCCUUGUGUAGCGGUGAAAUGCGUAGAUAUAAGGAAGAACACCAGUGGCGAAGGCGGAUAACUGGACGGCAACUGACGGUGAGGCGCGAAAGCGUGGGGAGC
RNAcentral lists this ribosomal RNA (247 nucleotides) under uncultured bacterium. RNAcentral describes it as "partial 16S ribosomal RNA". It matches the Rfam family "Bacterial small subunit ribosomal RNA", at positions 523 to 769 of the family's 1533-position model. The record is from RNAcentral.